This 693-nucleotide ribosomal RNA is filed under the name Triticum aestivum (bread wheat). RNAcentral describes it as "partial small subunit ribosomal RNA". Lineage: Eukaryota; Viridiplantae; Streptophyta; Magnoliopsida; Poales; Poaceae. The record is from RNAcentral.
AUGGCGGAGAACAGCACACAGCUGCUCGACGCCCUCUGUCGCCACCGCGAGCUCCUGAGGAGGGAGACCGAGUCCCUGAGAAAGGAGGUCACGUCCCGGGGCCUAUCGACGUUCGCCGGAAAGAAGGCCUACGUGAGCUCCAACUCGACAUCAACGAUCCACGCGCCGCCGCAGCUGGUCGACCCCACAACAACCACCUUGCACCGGGUGAGUUUGCCCUACGUCGUCCGCAACCGCGACGAGGCCCUCGGCUUCCUUCUAAGCGAGUCGGACGACAUGCGCCGCCGGAUCGAGUCUCUGGCGUCGAUUCUAAGGGAGCUCGGCGCUGACAGUGCUGCUACCACGGGCUUCUCCCCGGAGAAGAUCAAGAUGCUGUACCUCAUGUCCCGCGCAUCCCUGAGCAUCUCCCAAUAUAUGGCCAGGUCUGGAUCGUCCGCCAUUGCCAAGGAGGAGGAUGAUGGAGCUUCUUCUUAUGACCAGCACCAAUAUCGUGCCGGCUGGGAAUCCACGUGGGGCAGCAGCAUGGGAGGCUGUGGUUCCUUCUAUGACAUAACCACGUUGAGUCCUAUGCUAUUCACGCCCUCCACGCCUGGUAUUUCCAACUACUCUGGUACCGCCAGCCACGCCUUGCAGAUAUACUCCUUGGAAAUUGUUGACCUCAACGUCAACUUGAGCUGGCCGCUCCACGUGUAG